This 381-nucleotide ribosomal RNA is filed under the name uncultured bacterium. RNAcentral describes it as "bacterial SSU rRNA". It matches the Rfam family "Bacterial small subunit ribosomal RNA", at positions 29 to 439 of the family's 1533-position model. The record is from RNAcentral.
AACGAACGCUGGCGGCAGGCUUAACACAUGCAAGUCGAGCGCGUAGCAAUACGAGCGGCAGACGGGUGAGUAACGCGUGGGAAUCUACCCAUCUCUACGGAAUAACCCAGGGAAACUUGGAUUAAUACCGUAUACGUCCUUUUGGAGAAAGAUUUAUCGGAGAUGGAUGAGCCCGCGUUGGAUUAGCUAGUUGGUGGGGUAAUGGCCUACCAAGGCGACGAUCCAUAGCUGGUCUGAGAGGAUGAUCAGCCACACUGGGACUGAGACACGGCCCAGACUCCUACGGGAGGCAGCAGUGGGGAAUAUUGGACAAUGGGGGCAACCCUGAUCCAGCCAUGCCGCGUGAGUGAUGAAGGCCCUAGGGUUGUAAAGCUCUUUCAC